Molecule: transfer RNA, 65 nt
Filed under: Eriachne stipacea
Lineage: Eukaryota; Viridiplantae; Streptophyta; Magnoliopsida; Poales; Poaceae
Also listed under: 1 other name
Description: tRNA-Thr
Source: RNAcentral
CUUUUCGUUUAGUACUAGAGUAAUGCCAUGGUAAGAGGGAAGUUAUUAGUUCGAAUCCGAUAAAC